UGUGGGACCGUUAAAUUCAGGGUUCUCAGCAGGAUUUUUUUCUCAGUGUAAUGGGAUGGAAUAAUCACCUUAAAAAGCUGGGGGUUUGGGGGCUGCUUAGGCUUGGCCCCCCCGAAGCUUUUGCAUUAUGGGCUUAUAAAGGGUCUUCUUUGUUAGUCUAAAUAUAC
Molecule: long non-coding RNA, 167 nt
Organism: Thalassophryne amazonica
Lineage: Eukaryota; Metazoa; Chordata; Actinopteri; Batrachoidiformes; Batrachoididae
Exons: 3
Source: RefSeq, a predicted model, not a curated record